Long non-coding RNA from Triticum aestivum (bread wheat), 279 nucleotides. RefSeq lists it as uncharacterized. NCBI's taxonomy places the organism in Eukaryota, Viridiplantae, Streptophyta, Magnoliopsida, Poales, Poaceae. The transcript is spliced from 3 exons. The record is from RefSeq and is a predicted model, not a curated record.
GCUUAUCGCAAUGUUGCUCCCUUCAUUUCAUGUGACUUUGGCCAAGUGACUGAAAACAAAGUGGGAGAAAAAAAGAGAAAAAAUGAAUCAUGAAGACGACACUGAUCCUUGGUUUUCUCAAAGGCCAGAAACGCCCCCUUGGGAUGUAGCAGAGUACAAUCAACUCAUUUCUGCAGGGCCGUUACUGUCACUACUAGAGCAGUACGCAAACAUCGUUUCUUAUGAUCUAACCACACACACACACACAUGGAUACCAUGGCAAGUGCAAGCACAUGGCGC